RNAcentral lists this non-coding RNA (1034 nucleotides) under Pan troglodytes (chimpanzee). Lineage: Eukaryota; Metazoa; Chordata; Mammalia; Primates; Hominidae. The record is from RNAcentral.
GAGUCCCCAUGGCCCCCGCAGCAAGCCCCUGCCUCUCUCCUGUCCCGCUGCUGCACCACUCUGAGGCCCAGGUUCUCUUCUCCCAAGAGCGAGUGCAUUGGGUCAAGGUCACCCCAUCUGGAAGCUACCUAGACCCCAGCAAUGUUACCUGACCUGUGACACCUUUGUUCCUGUGUUCCUCCUCUGUGCCGCCCAUGGUGAAUGUGGCUUCUCUGUCUACAUGGAUGCACUCCCACCACACUGGGAGCUUCUGGGGCACAGGAGUCCUGCUUUACUUCCUGUGUUGAGCCCAGGGACUGCCCAAGAUAAUGCCCAGUGCAGGAAUGUUUCCACCAGGGGUCACAGGAAUGGCUCUGCUGCCCUGGGGGCUGAGUUGGCCACCUGUCUGGUGCCACCAAGUUAACAAGCAAAGCAGCAUGAAGGCAGUGGCUGGGGAAUCAACCCUGAUUAUCAAGGAUAAGAGUCCUGAAGAACCACAUGAAGAGAGUGCCCACAACCCAGAGGAUCUCCUGGAUACAGCUGUGUUACCAUGAUGUCCAGUGGAAGACACCACAACGCCAUUCAGGAGGGACCUCCAAGCCUGAAAGCCUCAGAGUGAUGGUUUGACUCACACCACCAGUAAAAUAACUUCCAACAAGCUGAGCAAGAAGAAAAGGGGAAUUGUGGCAAAUUGCAUUUUCCGAAAAUGGUCACCUUACCACUCUUCCAUCAAGAGGUGGUGCUAUGGAUUGAAUGUGUCCCCCAAAAUUCAUGCGCUGAAAACUUUACGUAAACACAAAUGCAAUAGUGUUGAAUGGUGGGACCUUUCAACACUAUCACAAGGGUGAUUAGGUGCUGAUGGCUCUGCCCUCAUGAAUGGAUUGUCAUUGUUGAGGGAGUGGGUUCCUGAUGAGAGAAUGGGUACAGCCUUUCCCUCUUUCUCACAUGUGCUCUUGUCCUUCUGCCAUAAGAUCAUGGAGCAAGAAGGCUCUUGAAAGAUGCCGGUCCCUGGCAGCCUCCAGAACUGUAAGAAAUAAAUCUCUGUUCGAUAUGAA